This is a long non-coding RNA of Haplochromis burtoni (Burton's mouthbrooder), 728 nucleotides long. RefSeq lists it as uncharacterized. The transcript is spliced from 3 exons. The record is from RefSeq and is a predicted model, not a curated record. NCBI's taxonomy places the organism in Eukaryota, Metazoa, Chordata, Actinopteri, Cichliformes, Cichlidae.
GGACUCCAGCUGCUGAUUCCAUUCAUUGCCCUGGACUGCGAGCAAAAGAAAGGCAAGAAUCGGCCUGAAGCAAGAGAGCCCACUGACUGUGGCUUACAGAAGUCUGCCUGAACAGGAUAAAAGUGACAGAAGUUGUCUAUGAGGGUGGUAAAGCGUCUGGCCUGAUCCUUCAUCGACAGCGUCAGCACGGGAACGCGGCGGAUCAAUACUGUGUCGAAGAGCCGCGCCAUCUCCAGUGUGACUGCCUUGGGCCGGCGAUGGAUUGUUCUGCAGGGUCGUUCUCACAACCUUCUCCUGCCUCGGCUGUUCCUCUUGGGGAAACAUCGUUUGAGUUGGAGGCCCCAUCUUUUGUGAUCCAGGACCCCACUGGACCCCCCGCUCUCAACCCAUCGAGUUUCGUUGGCCCAGGACUGAACCAAAACGGUAACUCGGGCAGUGUGUGCUACCUGCACCUGGCCAACAGAGGCUCCAUUUGUUGAUCGUGACAGACGCGAGCAAAACAUGGGCUCCACGCAGUUUAUUACAAAAAUUGCUCUCUGAUCAUCUUGUAUAGUAUAAACCUGCAAGACCUUUACAAGAAGACUUCAACAAUGUAGCAUUGCAGUCUUUUAAACCUGCAGGACUUUAUGUGCACAAUUAAAAAGGAAUCAGCAAAAUUAAAUAAGAGACUUCAUCUUUCUUGUUCUGUGCACUGUGAAAACCUGUCCGUACUACCCCCAUCCAUCUGA